CCCUUAGAUGUUCUGGGCCGCACGCGCGCUACACUGACGGAGUCAACGAGUUGUCCUGCAUCGGAAGGUGUGGGUAAUCUUUUGAAACUUCGUCGCGCUGGGGAUAGAUCUUUGCAAUUUUCGAUCUUGAACGAGGAAUUCCUAGUAAGCGUGAUUCAUCAGAUCGCGUUGAUUACGUCCCUGCCCUUUGUACACACCGCCCGUCGCUACUACCGAUUGAAUGGUUUAGUGAGGCCUCGGGACUGGCGCGCUCGAGUAGCAAUACACCUGCGCGCCGGGAACUUGGUCAAACUUGAUCAUUUAGAGGAAGUAAAAGUCGUAACA
This 324-nucleotide ribosomal RNA is filed under the name uncultured eukaryote. Its description in RNAcentral is "partial 18S ribosomal RNA". It matches the Rfam family "Eukaryotic small subunit ribosomal RNA", at positions 1470 to 1796 of the family's 1831-position model. The record is from RNAcentral.